Myotis myotis is the source of this 4072-nucleotide long non-coding RNA. RefSeq lists it as uncharacterized. The record is from RefSeq and is a predicted model, not a curated record. The transcript has 3 exons. NCBI's taxonomy places the organism in Eukaryota, Metazoa, Chordata, Mammalia, Chiroptera, Vespertilionidae.
CACCUUUAUCUGUCAGAUCACGAGAAAAACACCAGGUAAAUCCCAGUGGCCCUGACACCCACACCAGGAAAGCCCCGACAGGAAACGGGGUGCCAUCCCGUGAGUGUGGGCGCAGGACCCUCAGCACGGCGGACGGAGCACAGCGUGCCCGGGCUGCUCACCGCGCCCAGGGUGGGUCCCCGAAACGCUGCUUGGCUCAAAACAAGAAAGCACGUCGACGUAGCACACACAUCACGCACAGAGGGCGCACCCACAUGCUCACCUCAUUUGACGACACCCAACACGCGUUCAUGAUAAAGACGACGACUUGGGAGCAGAGGGGCUGCCUCCACCUGCAAGGGCCCCCCGGGAACCCCCAGCGAUGGCAUUCUGAGGGGACGGACAGGAGGCUCUUCCCUGAAAGCAGGGCCGCCGCUGCCCACCUCCCAGUCUGGCUGCCGGCGGGGCCUGGCUGGGCAGUGUGACGGCGAGAGGGGGGGCGGCACCAGGUCAGAGAGGAGGGCACAGAACCGUCUCUGUGCAGAUGGCAUCGCCUGUGUGCAGAGGAUGCCCAGAAACCCACCAACAGCAGCAAAGAGAACUGUCAGCAUGAACCAGCUCAGCGAGGGCGCCAGACGCGAGCUCCAUGCACCGAAAGGAGCUGUUUCUGGAGAAUGCGCACGAGUAAGGCGAGCGUGGAGCGGAGAGUCCUCCCCUCCCGGCCACACCAGGGGCCUGCACUGCCAGGUCCUCCCCUCCCGGCCACACCAGGGGCCUGCACUGCGAGGAGGUGCCAGUGCGUUCGCUGACCUUCACGACGGGAGGCCCUGUGCUCGCGAUGGAAGGCGACCCUGCCCGGCCCACCCCAGGAGCCGUCAGCACCCCACCUGCCGCACAGAAACGGACACGGGACCCUGAAAGGCACCUGCAGCUGCAAGAGACCUCGUGGGUCAGACCACCCGCAAGAGACAGGAGCCAUCACUUCCCAAUUCACUUCCCUCUGCAGGGGCGCGGCUCCCAGCCCAGAGGGGCCUGAGGAGGUGGGACCGCUCAGUGCUCUGGGGGGUCCUGGGACAGAAACAGGCUUAGGGGCGGGAGCCCGAAGGAAGAAGCAGCUACUGAGAGGGGCUUCUGGUGGCAAACGAGGCUGAAGUUACACACAAGAGCCAGCCGCAGUUCUGACCGCCUGGGGGGACUGUUCUGUCCUCGCUGUGGGCACAAACACGAACGGUGUUAACGUUCACAGAGCUGCCCGCUGCCCGGAGAGGACAGCGCCCUGAGGCUUCCGAGGCCGCGAGCAGGGAGGCACUUGGAAGUGGAAGAUCCCACAAGAGGCGCGUUCACUGAGCCAAGCAGGAGGAAUAGUAACAGCACAGACGCGAGAGGCAGCAGAUCCUGACCCGACAUCCACAUCCUCCGACCGUCCGCAGACGCGCACCCGCAGGACACGCACGGGAGGGAGACGCGCACGGAGCCACAGCCGUCAGCCACCACACAGAGCCCCAGUGAGGCUGCCGGGGCCGCCGGACCCGCCGAGAGCACCAUGUCCGGGACAGGUGUGCUGUCCCAGCGCUGGUCCUGCUCAGCUCUGCCUUCCUGCCACUCAGAGCCAAGGCGGCCCACCAGGUGCCCGAACGGGAGCCGGUCCACACACUUGGCCCUGUCCCAGCUCGACUGACCCGAGGCCGCCAGGGCAGAGCCCACGCAGCACAACCUGCACCAGGGGCCCGGGCGCGAGCUCCACGCCCAGAAUACAGGUUCUGCUGAAAGGGGACGUCUCAAGGUCCCCUCACAGCUUCCACUCACUUUGUAAAACAAUGUUUUUAUUGAUUUUUAGAGAGAAAGGGAGGGAGAAGGAGAGAGAGAAAUAUCAAUAAUGAGAGAGAAUCGUCGAUCGGCUGCCUCCUGCAUGCCCCCUCCUGGGGAACCGAGCCCAUGACCCGGGCAUGUGCCCUGACUGGGAAUGGAACCGUGACCUCCUGGCUCAUAGAUCGACACCCAACACUGAGCCACACUGGCCGGGCCUACCCUCACUUUUGUUGGGGUUCAGCUUUGCUGCUGUGGACCUGGAGGACUCCCUGUGCUUAACCAGGCAGAUUUCAUGACCAGAAUCCGGCAGCCAUAAGGGACAGAGGCCUGCCAGGCAGACUGCACUUCAGGGAGAAGCCUCUGCCUGAGCCCUCGGCCUCCUGGACUGCAGUGUCCUGCGGCUGAGCAGACCUGGUAGAGCAGCUCCUGGUAUCCUCUUUCCACCAAUCGGCUGAGACCAGCACCUGCCCAUUCCAGCUGCACAGCUAUACCUCAUCUGCAUAUGCUGACCAAUCAGAGCAGCUCCGUUACCACUCAGAAUGUCUGAAGCUGACCAAUCAGACGGUGUAAAUCUGGAUUCCUCAUUUGCAUGGAAAUGGGCCAAUGGGGAACCAGGGCAGGAAGGAACCUGCUCUAGAAGAGACAGCCUCUCCUUUGCCUGCAGGAGGCGCCUGCCCUUCGGCUUCCCAGUGGGCAAGACGGCUUCCCAGUGGGCAAGACGUUCACUUGCGACAGGUUCCCCCUUUCCACACGGCAGCCGGCCCUUUGCUGACGGCCGGGACGGGCUGGUGUGCAGACCUGUGACGACUCUCUGCCUGGGGCCACACCAUCACCUGACCCCGUGCGCCCAGCCCGUUGCAGCGGCUUGCUUACCUGGAAGAGGAUGAAGAUGAGGAACAGCUCGUAGACCACGCUGACACACAGCCAGAACCUCCAGUACGCUGCGAAGACAGAGACAGCGUCAGGGCGCCCGGCCGCGGUCCGGACACACCGUCCGCUCUGGCCCUGCUUGGUCUAGCAGGUUCCUUACAGCACGACCUGGCUCAGGUGACGCAAACCCCAGCCAACUCUUAGGAGCAAGUUCCCGGGACUAGAAAGGGGCUGACAAGCUUCGCAGACUCGGGGCCAGGAGAGCGGGGCGGGCCGGGUCGCUCUGGGACGUCUCCAGCUCCCCGCCCUGUGCAGCGGGCCCCCAUCAGGACAGACGUAGCUGUGACCUGUCCGUGCACCUGCCGAGGGAAGACCAGCGUGCAGCAGGAAGCACAGUGUGGGCCCAGGCUCGUGCGCUCAGAGCCCUGGGCCUGGGAGGAGCAGCCAAGGCGACAGGCGCGUUCUCCUGCGCUCACGUGGCUAAAGCUUGGGAAAUGCUCCCUGGUCCAAGGGCUGCGAGAGCAGUUACUGGGCUGAUGGUGCAAUCACAGGGCCCCCCCGCCUGCAGGCGCCCUGCACAUCACCCCCCACGGGCCCCAGACCAAGCCUGCAGGCGCCCUUCCCCCACUGCUGCUGUGCACCCCACACCCCGCACCUGCUGGCACAGAGGGCGGCCACCCAGAGCCCCCACUGUCACCCUGUGGUGCCCCCCCAUUUCCACCACCAGGAGGUUGGUCUCCGGCCCCGAUUCAGGACGCCCCCCGGCUUUCUCCCUGAACAUCGAAGCUGGCCGUCACAGCGCUGGCAGCCCCGCCCUGACUGGCCCCCCGCUGUCGGAGGGAGAGAGACACAUCAGAAGGGAAGUGCCUUCUCGAGGACAACCAGGUUUCCAGAGAGAGAAGCCCAGAGAGCCUCCUCCCAGUGACGCGGGAGGGGGGAGCGCCCCCACCACACUCCUCUGUGGAGUCAGAGCCCCCUCCCACUGCCCCCUGGGUGUGCUGCGCAGGGCAGAGAGUUCGCCUGGCAGGAGACAUGGCGAGCUCCCUGCCAACAGGCCCUCGCUCACAAGCAUGGUGCCCACUAGGCCACGAACACGUCCCUUCUGAGGGCCAGUGGGGUCAUCACGGCUCCUCCUCCCAGGACUCAGAUGGAGAGAGCCCAGAUGCGCACACAGGUGGUGGGAACGCUCAUUGCAGCUCCUGGGGACCCCGAAGCAGCCCCCGCAAGGAACGGGUUCACUGAGCACAUUCAUGUGGCGGCUGAACAAGCAGCCGUUAAAGUCAAGCUGUCAGCCCUGGCCGGUUGCUUGGCGGUUAGAGUGUCGGCCCAAGGAUCGAAGGGUCUCAGGUUUGAUUCCCGGCCAAGGGUAAGUUCCCUGGUUGCAGGUUCGUCCCCAGGAGGCAACCAAUGUGUC